UCCUGAAAAGAGCAAAAGAAUUUCCUUGAAUAUGGUAUUAUGUUCAAUGCAACCAGACAUUAUAACUGAAUAAUAAGACGAAGCCUAAGGUGAAAAAAUCUAUGAUAAUUGAUAGUGCCUGCAAGAGUGCACUAUGAAUUUGCACCUUUGAGUUUUCUAAAAAUUCAUUUCCUUCUCUUCGGCCUAAUUUAAGAGGCCUACAAGAAGCGAUGGGCUAAUAUUUGGAAAAUUAGGAAAUAUAUUGUAUAUUCUAUAUAAUUAUGACUAUUAAUUGAUGGCUGACAAAAAAUAUAACGUACAAUGAAAUAAGAACGGAGUACUCAUUCCUUAUUUGGUUGUAA
Molecule: long non-coding RNA, 341 nt
Filed under: Solanum tuberosum (potato)
Lineage: Eukaryota; Viridiplantae; Streptophyta; Magnoliopsida; Solanales; Solanaceae
Description: long non-coding RNA (STUB_LNC005526)
Source: RNAcentral